Molecule: ribosomal RNA, 468 nt
Filed under: uncultured bacterium
Lineage: Bacteria
Description: partial 16S ribosomal RNA
Rfam family: Bacterial small subunit ribosomal RNA
Source: RNAcentral
GACGAACGCUGGCGGCGUGCUUAACACAUGCAAGUCGAACGGAAAGGCCCUGCUUUUGUGGGGUGCUCGAGUGGCGAACGGGUGAGUAACACGAGAGUAACCUGCCCUUGAUUUUGGGAUAACUUCAGGAAACUGGGGCUAAUACCGGAUAGGAGCUCCCGCUGCAUGGUGGGGGUUGGAAAUUUUCGGCGGUUGGGGAUGGACUCGCGGCUUAUCAGCUUGUUGGUGGGGUAGUGGCUUACCAAGCAUGUGACGGGUAGCCGGCAUGGGAGGGUGACCGGGCACAUUGGGACUAAGAUACGGCCCAGACGCGAACGGUGGGCAGCAGUGGGAAAUAUUGCACAAUGGGCGGAAGCCUGUGACAGAGGCGCCGGGUGCGUGAAGACGGCCUUCGGGGUAAAAACCGCUUUCGCCUAUGACGAAGCGGUAGUGACGGUAAUGGGUAAAGAAGCACCGGCUAACUACGUG